Molecule: ribosomal RNA, 459 nt
Filed under: uncultured bacterium
Lineage: Bacteria
Description: bacterial SSU rRNA
Rfam family: Bacterial small subunit ribosomal RNA
Source: RNAcentral
ACGCUGGCGGCGUGCCUAACACAUGCAAGUCGAACGGAAGCAAAGUAUUCGGUUUUUGCUUUAGUGGCGAACGGGUGAGUAACGCGUGAGGAACCUGCCUUUCAGUGGGGGACAACAGUUGGAAACGACUGCUAAUACCGCAUAAAGUGUUUUGGGGCAUCCCCGGAACACCAAAGAUUUAUUGCUGAAAGAUGGCCUCGCGUCUGAUUAGAUAGUUGGUGGGGUAACGGCCUACCAAGUCGACGAUCAGUAGCCGGACUGAGAGGUUGAACGGCCACAUUGGGACUGAGAUACGGCCCAGACUCCUACGGGAGGCAGCAGUGGGGAAUAUUGGGCAAUGGGGGAAACCCUGACCCAGCAACGCCGCGUGAAGGAAGAAGGCUUUCGGGUUGUAAACUUCUUUUACCAGGGACGAAGGACGUGACGGUACCUGGAGAAAAAGCCACGGCUAACUACGUG